UUGAACCAAAUUCUUGUGCCUCAACUGGCUAAGGAUCAUUACCUCAGCUGCAUACUCUUUUAUCCCUUGAAUUGAGCUCUCUGAUACCCUCUUAACCACUACAAAAAUGUCCAAAUCUUUCAAAUAUCCCUUAAAUACAGCACCAAAUCCUCCCUUCCCUAGCUUCCCUUUCUCAUCAAAGUUAUUGGUUGCACAAACCAAGACAUCAUAUGGAAUAUUCUUGGCUCCAGUCACCCUUCUGAAUUCAUUGUCUUGGGAUUGCACAAUGAAUGAGUCAACUUCUGCUUCCUCUGUAUUCCCAACAAUGGGGUAAACUAUUUCUACUCCCCCUAUGGAAUGAGGGAUGGAUGAAUGAUAUUCUUCUUUCAUUUUGCUCCUCUUCUUGUGCCUGUAAUACCGGAUACCAAGCAAACCCAAAACACAAGCAACGAGCAAGCCGAUCACUGCCCCUGCAAUUUGUCCUGCCUGGCUUUUAUCUUUUCUGGGAGAAUUGGAUACUGGCAAGAUUGGUAGUGGAGGAGAGGGAGUGGUUAUGUUUUGAUGGGUUUGAAAACUUGAAUCGAAAGACCAUGAACGAAUUCUAUGAAACUCAUAAACACACCCCAGUUGCAGCAGAAAACCCCAAAAUAACCCAUUCAGGUAAGUAUCUCCUUAGAUCAACUUCACAGCAAAGAUUCUGUUCAACUAUGUUAUUUUCUGAAACUCCUGUAAAGUUAACACAGAGAUUCUUGGAACUAGAAUUAUAACUAAUCCUAGCGUCCAUUACCAUCCCAUCCAUAACGCUACUGUGCCAUUUCACACUUUUUAAAGAUCUCAAAGAGUUGAUGUCAAUACCUACAUGAUCGUCAUCCAUAUCAUCCCAUGGAUUGUAGUACGUAUCAAACUCGACAGCAACAAAUGGAUUUGCUGUUGAGUUCAAGGCCAGGUUGCCACUGGCAAGACCAAUACCGCUACCUUGCUUUUCAUCAGGCAUUCUGUAUUGUGGAGGAACAAUGAAGAAUGCGAGCCCAUCAGCGUGUGAAGCAUUGUUCUGUGCAUCAAUGGA
This 1045-nucleotide unclassified non-coding RNA is filed under the name Hevea brasiliensis (rubber tree). Lineage: Eukaryota; Viridiplantae; Streptophyta; Magnoliopsida; Malpighiales; Euphorbiaceae. The record is from RNAcentral.